UACUAGAAAGGUUAGAAAUUCACAAGAUAAUAACUGAGUUUUAUUUGAAUUCAAAUUCUGAUAUAAUAAUAUUCUUCAGAUGAAAUGAAACAAUCCUUGAACACUAUUUUACAUCCAUAAUUUUCAAUGAUCUCAUAUCAUAAAACACAGAAUUGUCAAUAAACAAGUAGAAAAACAAAUCCCAAAACCUCCUGAAGAUAGAAUCUCAUCACAACCCCAAUUUAUUUGUGGUAUUUUGAUCCAGUGCUUUGUUGCUACCUGUAGUGACAAUAAAUAUUACUUUGUCAGUAAACUAGAACAUGCUUCAUGUAAGAAAACAAGCCAACUGUACUGUACCCAAUAUUUAUAUACAAAUAUGCAUCCCUAACUAAAACCUUAUUUGCAAAAGAGUCAUUUUUUAAGGAUACCACUAGAUAUCUGUCAACAGGACUGGACUUAAUUAUCCCAUUUUAUAGGAGUCAUAAGUUAUCUGUCAAAAUCAACAACGCUCAUAGCUGAAGGUUAGAGCCAAACCCCUCCCAUGAUCAUUGGAAAACCCUCUCAGAGGCACUGAUACAUCUCCACACAAAUGUCAAAACUCAUUUGUCAUGAGAUGAUGCAGAAAUUCACUUGUGAGAUGAUACUUGUGUCCAAAUAUUACUAUGUAUAUCCCAUCAAACUUCUGCUAGAUGCAGUUCUCAUAUAAGCUAAACUACCAUUUUUUAUGUUUAAUACAUGGCAAACAUGUGACAUUAUUUCAUUGAAAUGCUUCAGAAACCAAGCAGCUAGCAUAUGUAUCAAUGCUAUAAAACACACAGCAUAUAGACGUGGCUUCCAUCGGAUAUACACAAAAUAGAGUAGGCAGUUUAAAAUCAUAUUCCUGAUUUGUUUAUGCAUGGAAAUGCAGAAGCAACAUAAUUUUUUGUAUAUAAAUAAUAAUAAAAAAGACAUACCAUGAGUUCAUGAGUGGAAACUUAUGAUUUAUUCCUGUGACUUCCAAUUGACUGGAGUGAUUUUUGGGGGGUGAUUAAUGCCAACCCAAACUUGCCUCAUUGUUUCUGUGAUUGUUGUAACAAAUCCUUCUGGCAUAUUUGUUAGCUUCAAUUCAGUGAGGGUUUUUAAGUGUCCCAACCCACUUGGGGCAUUCAAUUUUGUGCAAGAUCUAAUUUCCAACUCCCUGAGAUUUUGCAUUGCCUUUCCCUCAACAUCCCAAUCUUCUAGUUCUAGCAUCCACAACUUUAAAACUACAAGCUUUUCAAACCCUCAGUUGGAGCAAACCAUCUUGUUACCGGUAUAAGAGUUGGAAUGGAAACAAAGUGAUUUAAGGUUUUGGAGCUUCUCUAACUUCGGCAUUGGAUCUUCUUGAAGAAAAGAGGCUGACAAAGUAAGAUCAGUGAGGUUCUUAGGUAAUUCAGGUAUGAUGGAGGGAACUAGCUUUCCAAACAAAUUUAGGCUAGAGAGUCUCUCAAGUGCUGACAAAGAUUCCAACGCUAGAGCAUGAGGUUCACCCAAUUCAUCAAUUGAUCUCAAUCUUAAAGAUUGAAGGUGCUUCAGCUUUAGAAUCCCGUCUGCUAACGCCUUUUGAUCUUCCUUCUCUAACUGGAAUGCCAAUCCUAAUUUUCUGAGACUGGUAAACUUGUCCAAUCCAUCCUUCAAAGGACUAUCCUUAUCCACAAAUACCCCCCACAGUGUCUGGAGUUUCUUCAAGGAACUGCGACGUCCUUGUUGACACAUAAGUUUACUUAGGUAAUUCUGGCUAAAGUAUAGGUGUCGAAGUUCCUGUAGUUUCCAUAUGGAAUGGGGGAGAGUGCGGACAUAUGUAUGCUUCACAUCCAAGGUUUGGAGGUUCAGCAAAUUACCAAUGGAAGUAGGGAUUGAUUCAAGGUAAGUCCACCUCAAGCCUAGAUACCUCAACUUGCUUAAUUUCCCAAUGGUUUUGGGCAAUUCAGGUCUGAAUACACGUUCAAGAUCAAGAACCUGUAGAAGCUGGAAGAAACCACCUGCAAUGCCCUUUCGUAGAAAGUUGCCUAUUUCUUCUCCAGGCUUAUAUCCUUCUCCAGAAUCAAAGGAGAGAAUAGAGAUGAGUUUUUUGUAUGAGUCUGGAAAAUCUGAGCUGUCACUAUGAAUAAAACGAAAACUUGGAUCAUAACAGUUUAAGUGAUCAGCAAGUCGCCUCUGAUCUAACGUCAUAGAUUUGGACCUGAUCGGUUCUUGUAAAUCUUUGUGCAAGCAACAUGUCUUGACUCUCCCAUCAACCUUUCUUUCAACUACUUGAACAAUGUCCCGAUCAAUUAACUCCGAUAAAUACGUGUUUGCCACAUCUUCAUAUUCUGUCGCCUUAUCCCUUACGGGUGCCACAUCUUCAUAAGGUUCUGUCGUCUUAUCCCUUAUGUGUACCAAACCUUCUGCAAUCCACAUAGCAAUUAAUCUCCUCGUAGGAAUUUUGAAAUCCCUUGGGAAGACUUUGAAGCAAGAAAGACAAUGGGAUAGAUGAGAAGGUAACUUAUCCGCACACCCUAUGGUGUAGGUACGAAUCGAUGCUGUAUCAUUCUGGUUGAUGUAUUGAAUCACCCUUUUCAACUCUUGAGCAGUAUUCUCAUCUUUCCCUAACAUUAGACAUAUGAUGGCCAGUGGUGAACCCUUAUAUUUACUCAAAAUUUCUUUUGCUAGCAUUUUCCAUUUUGGAGGAAAGUGCACCGCCUGGUUGAACAACUGCCAGCUCUCUUCUCUGGUUAGCGGUCGAAGCUGGUGGGGAGGGUUGUUGCUGUCGACUUGUGAAGCCAAAUUGUGGUCGCGUGUAGUGAGCAGAAUUCUGCUCCCACUUGAUGUAGUUACUGGAAAUGCUGCUUUCAGAGUAUUCCACUCUACCAUUGUGGAGAUGUUGUCAAGAACUAAAAGGCACCGCUCAGCUUUUAAGAUAUUAUGUGCCUCGUCGAUCCUGCUGGAUGCAUUGUGAUUGAUCUCUUGGCGCCCUUCUGGUUUAAGAGACCUCAAGUGACGCAGCACAAGCAACAAAGGUUUCAAGCGAAACCGUGAGUAACAAUAAAACUGGAUUCCACCAGAAAAUUAAGAGAAGCUCUCUUGGAAUAAUAUGAUUAAAAGUUGAGCUCCAGAUACAUUAGACAAACCUGUCUAAAUACACAUUUCUCAACAACCCUCAACCCUUCAACUACUAGGGGAGUUAUUACAUAAAACUGAAAAAACAGGAUUAAUUUGGAGUCUUAAUAACGUAACUCCUAAACUGUCCAAAACAGAAUUUAUUGAAAAAUUAACUACCAAACUUUAACUGCAGUUUUGGAAGGCCAAACGACCUCAGAAUGCCAAAAUCCACCUUAUGUCACAGCAAAGCUGUGAGUUACACUCGUGGCUUCGUUCCCUUUCCGAAAAGGUAUUUUGCGUCCUAAUCGGAGCUUGGACGACAAAACUGCAUAUUCCCGCUACGUCCUUUUUCUAGCUCAACCGCGAUAAAAUCUGCCAUCUGUUCUACAUCAUCAAGAUCUGCUUUGCUACUUCCAAAAUCAGCUGUUCUUUGUUAUUAGAGUCACCAUGAGGUAGAGAAACCCAUGCACGGCAGGGAAAAUGUUCCACAACAACUCCAUGGUUAUAAAUUUUCUUUGCCAGUGUUGUCUUACCUAUUCCCCCAUCCCCCACAACUGAAAUGACAGAGCGAUGUUCAUUGUUGGUUGUCAGCCGUGACACCACUGCCAACAUGUCUUCUUCCAAACCAACCACUGAGCUUGACUCUGAGGUCAAUUCAAUGGUGUACGCUUUUAUGCAUCUUAAAAAAAUAUCAACUGUACGAUUGAUUUGGUCAAUUUCAUGAAAAAGCUUCUUCCCAUCUCUUGUUUUCGAAGUGUCUGAAUCCUUCACGAAUUUUUUCGCAGAUUUUUCUGCCCUUAGAACAAUUUUCUUCAUUUGCUCCAACCCAGCUUUUCUGGAAUUAUAUCUGCUUCUAAUUUUUCCAGCAUCAUCUAGAAGUUUAGGCAUCUUUUCCAAAUUAUUGCAUAGCCAUUUGACAUGAAAAUAUACCUCAAAUACAGAUGACUUCAGGUGCUGUCGCAAACUGUCUAGUACAGGUGAAACAAAUUCGCCAGCAGUGGUGCGGUAGGAGGGUUGAUAGACAAACUUUGACGAAUCUCUGCUUAUAAAUCUGAAGCCAUAUCUAUCUUUUUUUUCUAAUAGGUCUGAGAACCCAACUUCAAUGCACCUUAUGUUCUGUUUGAGAUUCCUCCAUGCCUUCCAACUGCAAACAACUGAUAGCAACGGAGGCCUCUGUGAGAAGUUUUCAAUGGCAGGAUGUGCUUCAUUAAUUAUCUCUUCCAGUUCUUCCACCCACGCCUUUUCAGUUUUGCUCUCAAACUGAAGUCCUUCUAUAUCCUUCAGAAAAGGAUGCAGUAGCAGCAACUGCAGAUUUAUUGCCUUUAUUUUCUCUCCAGUAUCAUGCAUUAAGACUGGGUCUUGAAUUAUCAGCCUUUUUAUUUUCUCUGAAGUAGAGAAAGUCAAAUCAGCUGGUGAGGCAGCUCCUCCUUUGGAAUUUAGUACCCAUCUAUGCUCUUGUUCUUCAACAGAUCUGUCCCGAAGGCUUCUAAUGUCAGACCUCAAUCUCUCUAGUGAUUCGCAUAUGUUAAUCCCACACACCGCCUUCUUCUCAAUGAUGUUUUUUAUUUCCUCUUUAACCCAGUUAGUUUCACUGGAAAGCUCUCCCAUCUGGCUGAGAUUCUUCCUGAUUGUAGCAGAACUUAUUAUGUGGGAGUCCCUUCUGUGUUUCUCAAAGGUUUCGACCAAAUAUUUUGCUCUUCGAACAACGGAUUUGGCUUGCUCAACCCAUGCUGACUCGGUUUUAUCCAGCCCUUCUAUAGUUGCUCCAACAGAGUAGUGGUCAGAUUCCCAGAUUUGACAGGCUCUGGUGUUUAUCUCUUCUGUUAACUCCAUUACUUUUGCUGCAUCCUCUGAAAUAGCAUGCAGUAACCUUGAUUCUCUUCUGAUCCGCUUGAUAUCUUCCUCCAAGUAGAGAAAUGGCUCAUAGUUGAUGUAUAAGUAGAUAGAAAGUAUUAGUGGGACAAGAGUGACGGGGAAGAGCACAUGAUACAGUGAUAUUUGAAACAAAUAACGGCAAAGAAGAAAUACAGCAAAUAGGACAUGAAACUGAGUGCUGUGAAGAAUGGAAUCAAUAAUCAAUGCUGAGGGCUUGGUUGCUCCUUCCCUCUGGUAUGCCAAACCGAGCAUGAACACAAACAUCGAGAAAUAUUGAUGAUUAUCAGAAGCUGGAUUUUCAGUUCCGCUGCGAUCCUUCGUAAUCAUCUGAGGCUGAGCAGCAGGUAUCUUCAUAUCUUUCCACUCCAUCGUCCGUGUGGAUUCGAAUAGCUGAGCACCAACUGUUGCUGCAUUGUUCCAUACAAUGGUGGUUUCCAUGUUUAGCUGUCUUGGCAGCCUUGGUUUGUUUGUUUAAAUCUUGGCAGCUUUGGUUCAAAGAAACCAAAUUGCCCAAUUUGCAGUGUGCUGAAACAUGUUUAGCUGUUUUUACUUAAAUUAAAAUUGAUUUGUAUAACGUUAAAUAUCACUCAAUUACAAUACUCUGCGGUUAGAAAAUAUAUAGUCAUUUUUUAACAUUUUUCAAUGAAGUUGUAGCUUCUAUUACGCCAAAACAGUCUUUCAAAAAUAAUUGAUUGCAGUUGCAGAGAAGAGUCUUUGAAUAAUUCAGGAACUUGGUGACGCCGUUGCCCGCUUGCCGCUGUGUGCCAUGUUCGUUGCCUGUAAAAGUAAGUGAGUUACUUAAAGACUAAUCAGUCAAUUUUAUUUAUUAAUUAAUUCAGCAUUAUUGUUAAUUUAUACAACGAUUUGUCAGAUUAUCAUGGAAUGUGGUUUUGAUAUUAUGUUGACAAAUUCAAACACUGACUUUUAAUAUUAAUCAUUGUUUAGCUCUGAAUUCACACUCAAAUUAUUUGGUGGGAAGUCUCUCUCAAUUUAACAAAUGAACUGGAAUGAUGAAUUGAACCAACUUAUUGGAAAAACGAAAAGAAAGACUUAGAGGUCGAUGAGCUCCCAAAUGUCUUACGGGAAUAAGAUAUAAAUAUAAAAAAUUCUCUAGGUAAGAAGUUUUUUUUUUUUCUUUUAGACUAGAAAACGUUAAGUCUCAACUCUAAAUAAUAAUUCUAAAGCCUAAAAUAAUCAAUAAAUAGAAUUAAGUUGAAGUAAAUUGAGAAGAAGUGAGGUUUUCUCAAUGCGUCCUAAACGUCUUGCAAAAUUAGUCGAAUUGGUAUAUAUAUCCCACAUUACUCCGCCACAACCUCCACUGCACCACCUUAAUUACCAUACUCUCAAACUUCUUCAUCCAAAUGCACCGUAACAUAUUUGAAUUUCUGUAAUUUUUUUGUUUUAGGUGCUGAUUUCCAUUCCAUUGUGUACAUUUCUUAUCCUAUUCUUAUGCUUUGAUAAUUGAAUAGAAACAUUGAGGUGAUAGCAUGAAAGUAAUGGGAAAGAGUGUGAAAAUGUACAAUACGAGUGUGAAAAUUGCCAAUUAAAAAAAAAAAUUACAACAUGAUGGCCCUGGACCUACAAACACCCAAAACAUCCUCAGCCAAAAUAAUUAAAAUAGAAAUGGGAGGGGAAGACGGAGAUCCUCUAGAACAUGAUCACAGUUCUGCCCCAAUCAAACAUGUUGCUUCAGAGAUAAGACCACCAUCAACAUUUCACCAAAUUCGAUUUCUUGGUGAACAAGAAAUCAAAAAAUACACCAAACUAAGAAUUUGAUAGUAAGCGCAUAAAUGAAGAGUAGUAUGCACAAACAAUUAGGCAAUCUACCAUAUGAUGGAGAUUACAACUCUCAUUAAAAGAGAAAUCAGAACACUUCAAACCAAUUUUCUGGAUAUACAAUAAAUAACCAAAUUGAUACUUUCCUAUAUUUAAUUGUUCUUCACUUAAAAAACAUUAUUACUUCUUUUUUUCAGAAUAAGAAACUGAAUUAUACUAGAAAUUUUAGAAAUAGACGAACAUAAAUGUAAUCAUAAAAACUUAUAUGUAUGCUGGAUUACUCCACAGUCAAUUUUGUCCUGACAUGGCCCGCUGAAAUUUGGAGCUUUUCAGUCAAACCAAGAUGUGCCAUAAGAAGCCAGACAUGAGUGAGCAGCUCUCCUCCUCACCUGAGCUGCUGAGCAUGAUCACUCCAUCGGCACUGGUUAGCGGCGUAAC
This 7167-nucleotide long non-coding RNA is filed under the name Prunus persica (peach). RNAcentral describes it as "long non-coding RNA (PPER_LNC002937)". Lineage: Eukaryota; Viridiplantae; Streptophyta; Magnoliopsida; Rosales; Rosaceae. The record is from RNAcentral.